GAUGAACGCUGGCGGCGUGCCUAAUACAUGCAAGUCGAGCGAACGGACGAGGAGCUUGCUUCUCUGAUGUUAGCGGCGGACGGGUGAGUAACACGUGGAUAACCUACCUAUAAGACUGGGAUAACUUCGGGAAACCGGAGCUAAUACCGGAUAAUAUUUUGAACCGCAUGGUUCAAAAGUGAAAGACGGUCUUGCUGUCACUUAUAGAUGGAUCCGCGCUGCAUUAGCUAGUUGGUAAGGUAACGGCUUACCAAGGCAACGAUGCAUAGCCGACCUGAGAGGGUGAUCGGCCACACUGGAACUGAGACACGGUCCAGACUCCUACGGGAGGCAGCAGUAGGGAAUCUUCCGCAAUGGGCGAAAGCCUGACGGAGCAACGCCGCGUGAGUGAUGACGGUCUUCGGAUCGUAAAACUCUGUUAUUAGGGAAGAACAUAUGUGUAAGUAACUGUGCACAUCUUGACGGUACCUAGUCAGAAAGCCACGGCUAACUACGUG
Molecule: ribosomal RNA, 497 nt
Filed under: uncultured bacterium
Lineage: Bacteria
Description: partial 16S ribosomal RNA
Rfam family: Bacterial small subunit ribosomal RNA
Source: RNAcentral